CUACGGGGGGCUGCAGUGAGGAAUAUUGCACAAUGGGGGGAACCCUGAUGCAGCAACGCCGCGUGGAGGAUGACGCAUUUCGGUGUGUAAACUCCUUUUAUAUGUCAAGAAAAUGACGGCAGCAUAUGAAUAAGCACCGGCUAACUCCGUGCCAGCAGCCGCGGUAAUACGGAGGGUGCAAGCGUUACUCGGAAUCACUGGGCGUAAAGGACGCGUAGGCGGGUUGGAAAGUCAGGUGUGAAAUCCUACAGCUUAACUGUAGAACUGCACUUGAAACUUCUAAUCUAGAGUAUGGGAGGGGGGGAUGGAAUUAGUGGUGUAGGGGUAAAAUCCGUAGAUAUCACUAGGAAUACCUAAAGCGAAGGCGAUCUCCUGGAACAUUACUGACGCUAAGGCGUGAAAGCGUGGGGAGCAAACAGGAUUAGAUACCCUAGUAGUC
Molecule: ribosomal RNA, 439 nt
Filed under: uncultured bacterium
Lineage: Bacteria
Description: partial 16S ribosomal RNA
Rfam family: Bacterial small subunit ribosomal RNA
Source: RNAcentral